GUAUUACUAAUUUGAGGUUUUAAAAUUGAUGUAUAUAUUUUUUUAAAUAUUUCUGAAUUUACAGGAUUUUUUUGCAAAUAUGUAUAAGUUCAGGGUAUUUUUUGCAAAUGUACCAAUAUUUUCAGGCGACCGCCUAGGCGUCGCCUAGGGCGCCUAGGCGGCCAUGCGGUCAUGGCCAUCGCAUGACCGCAUGAACGCCUAAAAAAGCUUGAUCUCUAUACCUUCUUCCUAUAGACAGAGGUACCUUGCAAGUUUUGUCCACAGUCACAGAAUUCCCA
RNAcentral lists this long non-coding RNA (278 nucleotides) under Zostera marina. Its description in RNAcentral is "long non-coding RNA (ZMAR_LNC003438)". The record is from RNAcentral. Lineage: Eukaryota; Viridiplantae; Streptophyta; Magnoliopsida; Alismatales; Zosteraceae.